CCUACGGGCGGCAGCAGUGAGGAAUAUUGGUCAAUUGACGAGAGUCUGAACCAGCCAAGUAGCGUGAAGGAUGACUGCCCUAUGGGUUGUAAACUUCUUUUAUAUGGGAAUAAAAUGUUCCACGUGUGGGAUUUUGUAUGUACCAUAUGAAUAAGGAUCGGCUAACUCCGUGCCAGCAGCCGCGGUAAUACGGAGGAUCCGAGCGUUAUCCGGAUUUAUUGGGUUUAAAGGGAGCGUAGGUGGAUUGUUAAGUCAGUUGUGAAAGUUUGCGGCUCAACCGUAAAAUUGCAGUUGAAACUGGCAGUCUUGAGUACAGUAGAGGUGGGCGGAAUUCGUGGUGUAGCGGUGAAAUGCUUAGAUAUCACGAAGAACUCCGAGUGCGAAGGCAGUUCACUGGACUGCAACUGACACUGAGGCUCGAAAGUGUGGGUAUCAAACAGGAUUAGAUACCCCUGUAGUC
RNAcentral lists this ribosomal RNA (460 nucleotides) under uncultured bacterium. RNAcentral's name for it is "partial 16S ribosomal RNA". It matches the Rfam family "Bacterial small subunit ribosomal RNA", at positions 338 to 795 of the family's 1533-position model. The record is from RNAcentral.